AGGGACAGCCGCCGACAGCAUCAGCCUCUGCACCAGGGACUCCACAGCACACACUCCCGCUGAGCGGCCUGGGCUUCAGCCCAAAUCCCUCCAGGCCUUCGGGUGGUCCCCACGAACCAGCUUGCCCCUUCGCCAGGAGGCUAGGCCAGUGGCAGCUCUGCACCACCCGUGUCCCCACGCCCACGUUCCUGGGCUCCAACCUGUCCUUACUUCCUGUUUUAAAAAAGAAAACUGUCCUCCUCUGAAGCCCAGGGCAGCACAGGCUCAAUUUCCUUUCUCCUAAACUGCGCCGGAGUGCCUGGCCUCUCUUUGGGUGAAGGCGUCUAACCAGGGCGCAUGGACCGCCUGAGGACAGGGUCUUCCCAGCAGGGAGGGCAGCGAGGAGAAGGGGAUGCGUCCCGGGAGGUGGAUUUUCCUGUUGAGUUUACCAGGAGGUGUCUGUCCUCCAGGGUGUCCUGGGCCCUCCUUUCUAUGGUGCAGGGAUACGUGGCCUAGAGGGGUGGUUCUCCACGUGCAGUCCCCGGACUGAUGACCUCAGCAACCCCUGGGAAUUUGCUAGAAAUGCAGAAUCGUGGGCCCCACCCCGACCUGCCGAAUCCGAAGCUCUGGGGGCAGGGUCCUGCACUCUGUGUUUCAGCAGCUUCUGAUGUGCAGGGAAGUUUCAGACCCGCUGGCCCAGAGGUUCUGCUGCUGACCAGCUAGACUCUCUCCCUUUGGGGCCUCUGCACCGAGAAUUCCCGAGUCUCUGGACCUCACCCUCGUGUGGCAGACAGCCCACGCCCUGCCGCAGGGCUCCUGAUUUCUGCCUCUGAUGACAAACGUGGCCUGAUCAGGCAGUUCGGUUCCAGGCCGCCCAGCCCCGCUUAGCCCACCGCAGAAGAAUAGGCCAGGGUUGCCCCUGUCUGCGCAG
Molecule: long non-coding RNA, 910 nt
Filed under: Homo sapiens (human)
Lineage: Eukaryota; Metazoa; Chordata; Mammalia; Primates; Hominidae
Description: HSALNT0131965
Source: RNAcentral